Gordionus sp. m RMFG-2023 is the source of this 1230-nucleotide long non-coding RNA. RefSeq lists it as uncharacterized. The transcript has 5 exons. The record is from RefSeq and is a predicted model, not a curated record. Lineage: Eukaryota; Metazoa; Nematomorpha; Gordioida; Chordodea; Parachordodidae.
UCGAAAUCAGAAUUAAUAAACUUUGUUAGUAAAAUAUAUUGGAAAUGGUGGAACACGACUGGUCUUGAUAUUAAAAAAAAUAUAAUAAGCAAACUUAGUUCCAUUAAUCUACGCCUCGAAUUCUUAGUUGGAAAAACUAUGAUGGUGCUUCAAACAUGAGUGGAAGGAACAUAUGAGUACAGGCUUUGAUUAGAGCUGAGAUCUCAAAGGGAGCUUUUUUGAUUCUAUUGUCAUCGAUUAAAUCUAAUCAUUGUUUAAUUAUUUCAAUCGAUAAAAGAACUAAGAAAUGUUUUAAAGAUCUUAGACGAGAUUCACUUGUAUUUUAAUAGUGUUAAAAAAUAUGCAAUGCUCAAAGUAUCAGAGUUGAUGUAAUGCCAAAAUCGCAAAGAUUUAUAUGCAUUAAGAAUACCACUCGGUAAUAUUAUCUGAAAAAAAUAUACCUUCUGAUUUUGAAAGUUCUAGACUUCAAACAUUACAAUACAAAUGAGAGUUAUAAAACCAGUUUAUACUGCAGAUUUGAUCAUUAUGCAGUUUAAUGAAAGAUUCAGUGAUAAAUUGAUGAAAUUUUUAAAUCAAACCUCAUUUUUUUACACCAAAGGCGGAAAAGAUAUUCGUUAAGGAUGAUAUCGAGGGUAUCUGUGAAUUUUACCAUUAAAAUUCAAUCUCGAGAAACCAUCGUACGCCUCAAGAGGUCAACGAAUUCAAAAAGUUCGAGUUGAUAUGCUGUCGCGGUAUGCCGUGGGGAGGAGCUAACCGACUCAAGCACAAGAGACGGAAUCACAAGAGAAUAAAAUAGGAAGAAUUGCUGUUAAACCAUUCCAUAGAUAUUCAGUCUCUCCCACUAGCCUCAGCAAUAAAUAUCAAUCCCAUAUUGGUACAGUGGUGCCUUACAGCGAUUGAUCCAGGCUUUAGAAGAUCAAAAGUCAGUCUAAUUAUACAUUGGAACAAGUAUUUGAUUUAGAUGGCCUCCUAUGUUAGAGUGGGUAACAAAAUAAUGAAGAUAGAGAUCCGAGAGGUUGACGGUUCAGAAGAGUCCAACAGAUGGGUAGAAGCCGCUAGGAACGAAGCAAAACAAAGAUAUGGAGAUUGGCUACAAGAGACGCCAACGAGAGGGGUUCACAGGAUAGCACCAUAUAACACAAGAAGGAGAGUGGAAUGUUGGGCUUGUGGGGGAGGACACAAGUUACGAUAUUGUCCCAGUGUAGAGUUGACAGCGAACAAUAAUACGAA